GGGGUUGGGCCUCUGAAGUUUAAACUGGACGGAAACGGCUGGUUCUGGGUUGCUCACUUUUUUGAGAGAAUAGGCCUAGUUUGCAUCUUAGCAUGUCAAUAGUAACAGUGCAACUUGGUCAGUGUGGUAAUCAGAUUGGUUUUGAAGUAUUUGAUGCUCUAAAUACUGACUCACACUGUCCCCAGGGACUCUGCUCUAAAAGAGAAAAUGAGGCAUAUCAAGCAUCUUGCAAAGAAAGAUUCUUCAGUGAGGAGGAAAAUGGAGUUCCAAUUGCCCGGGCCGUACUUGUUGAUAUGGAACCCAAAGUUACCAGUCAGACACUGUCAAAGGCUGCCCAGUCUGGCCGAUGGAAAUAUGGCCAGCAUUCAUGCUUCUGUCAAAAACAAGGUUCUGGAAACAACUGGGCAUAUGGUUACUCUGUUCAUGGACCCAGGCAUGAAGAAGCUAUAAUGAACCUAAUCCAGAAGGAAGUGGAGAAAUGUGACUCCUUGAGUGGUUUUUUCAUCAUAAUGAGUAUGGCUGGGGGCACAGGAUCAGGGCUAGGAGCCUUUGUUACACAGAAUUUACAAGAUCAGUACUCAAACUCUUUGAAAAUGAAUCAGAUUAUAUGGCCGUAUGGAACUGGUGAGGUUAUUGUCCAGAACUACAACUCCGUUUUGACUCUUUCUCACUUGUACCGAUCUUCAGAUGCCCUUCUUGUUCAUGAAAAUGAUGCUCUUCAUAAGAUCUGUGCGAAACUGAUGAACAUCAAGCAGAUCUCCUUUAGCGACAUAAACCAAGUCCUUGCACAUCAGUUGGGAAGUGUGUUCCAGCCUACUUAUUCUGUGGAAGGCUCAUGUCACUACAGACGAAAUCCAUUAGGAGACUUAAUGGAGAAUUUGGUUCCCCAUCCUGAAUUCAAGAUGCUGGGUAUUCGUAACAUUCCUCAAAUGUCAGAGAACUCACUGGCAUACAGCACAUUUACUUGGGCCGGCCUCCUCAAACAUCUGAGACAGAUGCUCAUUUCUAAUUCAAAAAUGGAAGAAGGUAUUGAUUGGCAGGUACGGCCUCCUUUAUCAGGACUUCCUACUUUUGGUAAAGUGUCUCUCAACAGGGAGCUUCAUUUUAACACUUCCAUUGCCAACUUGGUCAUCCUCCGUGGGAAAGAUGUGCACAGUGCGGAUCUGGGAGGAUUUAAAGAUCCAGCUCUCUAUACUUCUUGGUUAGAGCCUAUUCAUGCUGUCAAUGUGUGGAAAACCCAGCGAGCCUUUAGCAAAUAUGAGAAGUCUGCAGCAUUGGUCAGCAAUAGCCAGUUCUUACUAAAACCUCUUGAUACGAUUGUGGGCAAAGCCUGGAACAUGUUUGCUUCAAAAGCCUACAUUCAUCAAUACACAAAAUUUGGAAUUGAAGAAGAGGACUUCUUGGACAGUUUCGCAUUGUUAGAACAGGUUGUUGCCAGUUACUGCAACCUCUGAUCUCGAACAAAGGAGAAAAAGUACUUUAAUUCAUUUUGGGGCUAAAAUAUUUUCAAUAGUACUUUCUCUGUAAGGUUUUCAGAUCUCUACCUGUCAAAGUAACAAAGUCAAAUGCUGUUUCCUUUGGCAUACUAUGACCACAGAAAAGGAGGAAAACCUUUUCAAUGGAGAACAUCAUGUUUUCAAUGAAAACGUCUACUUGGUAUUUUCAUUUGUAAGAAAGGAACUGGUGCUUCUAUAAAGAAAUUUGGAAACACUUUGCUGAGAUGUUGGAAUUCUGGAAGUAUCCAAAAAAGUUGUGAUUUAACACAAAGAAGGUGAUGCCAAAGCUUCAACAUAGUGUCACUGGAAAUGUACCUUGUGUAGAGAAAAUGGCCAAUCAGCCAGGACAAAAUGAGGACCAUAACUUCCUGGGCAUACAGAUCCAGAAGCUCUGAACUUGUAAUAUCUUAGAUUACUGGGUAACUAGAGUACUGUGUUGUCACUCACAUUUCUCCCACAGAGCCGCACAUACGUACGCACCCCCUGUAGGCAUAAAGAAGUGUAAAUUCAAACUGCUGCUUCUUUUCGUCUUUUCACUCUCCUUCAUUUGUGCUUUUGUCAAGAGUUCUUUAAGCUAUAGAACCCGUUUCUUCCCAUUCAUUCCCUCUUGCUUCUAGCUUUGCUCCUGCCAACAUGAACCAAUCUGCAGCAUCUUUCUCCUUUAAUUAAUCUGUCACUUAGACCUUAGCUAACAUAUCCACAAUUCACUGUUCUCAGGUCAUUCAUUCAUUCAACCAAUACCUAGUCAGUACCAGGCAUUGACUUGGAUGUUAAGGAUGUAGGCGUUAAUACCAUCUGGUCUAAAUGAAGAAGCUUACAGUGUAGCUAAGUUUCUUUGAAUGUCUUGAUGCUCCAAUCCUAGCUUCCUAAUUAUUGUUUAUUAUCUUCCCCAUGUCCAUGUUCCCCUUUUUUACAAGAAAGAUGUACAAGGAACAACGAGCUGGGAGCUCUAGUCUGGGCUUUAAAUUGGUUUGAAAUGCCUCCCCCCGGGCUCUGGAGACUAUUCUGCAGGGUACAUACCAAUGAUUCUUCUGACCGCCAUGUUUAUCACACUUGAAUUCCUGUCCAAAAUUUUGUUUCAAAACACGCUCCAUAUGUUCCUAUCACAAUAUUCUCUCUGUAUGAGCCCAAGGUUUGGCAGUCAAGCCUUUCUUGUUCUUCAACAUACCUACCAAAUAUGGCUUUACUCACUAACUUGUCAUUUUUGGCAAAUAAUCAGUUAUUUAAGAGAUGUCU
RNA transcript from Ailuropoda melanoleuca (giant panda), 2732 nucleotides. It is a transcript of the gene named tubulin delta 1, with no coding region annotated. NCBI's taxonomy places the organism in Eukaryota, Metazoa, Chordata, Mammalia, Carnivora, Ursidae. The transcript is spliced from 10 exons. The record is from RefSeq and is a predicted model, not a curated record.